RNAcentral lists this ribosomal RNA (1404 nucleotides) under Citrobacter koseri. Its description in RNAcentral is "bacterial SSU rRNA". It matches the Rfam family "Bacterial small subunit ribosomal RNA". Lineage: Bacteria; Pseudomonadati; Pseudomonadota; Gammaproteobacteria; Enterobacterales; Enterobacteriaceae. The record is from RNAcentral.
AGUCGAACGGUAACAGGAAGCAGCUUGCUGCUUCGCUGACGAGUGGCGGACGGGUGAGUAAUGUCUGGGAAACUGCCUGAUGGAGGGGGAUAACUACUGGAAACGGUAGCUAAUACCGCAUAACGUCGCAAGACCAAAGAGGGGGACCUUCGGGCCUCUUGCCAUCAGAUGUGCCCAGAUGGGAUUAGCUUGUUGGUGGGGUAACGGCUCACCAAGGCGACGAUCCCUAGCUGGUCUGAGAGGAUGACCAGCCACACUGGAACUGAGACACGGUCCAGACUCCUACGGGAGGCAGCAGUGGGGAAUAUUGCACAAUGGGCGCAAGCCUGAUGCAGCCAUGCCGCGUGUAUGAAGAAGGCCUUCGGGUUGUAAAGUACUUUCAGCGGGGAGGAAGGUGUUGUGGUUAAUAACCGCAGCAAUUGACGUUACCCGCAGAAGAAGCACCGGCUAACUCCGUGCCAGCAGCCGCGGUAAUACGGAGGGUGCAAGCGUUAAUCGGAAUUACUGGGCGUAAAGCGCACGCAGGCGGUCUGUUAAGUCAGAUGUGAAAUCCCCGGGCUCAACCUGGGAACUGCAUCUGAUACUGGCAGGCUUGAGUCUCGUAGAGGGGGGUAGAAUUCCAGGUGUAGCGGUGAAAUGCGUAGAGAUCUGGAGGAAUACCGGUGGCGAAGGCGGCCCCCUGGACGAAGACUGACGCUCAGGUGCGAAAGCGUGGGGGAGCAAACAGGAUUAGAUACCCUGGUAGUCCACGCCGUAAACGAUGUCGACUUGGAGGUUGUGCCCUUGAGGCGUGGCUUCCGGAGCUAACGCGUUAAGUCGACCGCCUGGGGAGUACGGCCGCAAGGUUAAAACUCAAAUGAAUUGACGGGGGCCCGCACAAGCGGUGGAGCAUGUGGUUUAAUUCGAUGCAACGCGAAGAACCUUACCUGGUCUUGACAUCCACGGAAGGUCUCAGAGAUGAGACUGUGCCUUCGGGAGCCGUGAGACAGGUGCUGCAUGGCUGUCGUCAGCUCGUGUUGUGAAAUGUUGGGUUAAGUCCCGCAACGAGCGCAACCCUUAUCCUUUGUUGCCAGCGGUUAGGCCGGGAACUCAAAGGAGACUGCCAGUGAUAAACUGGAGGAAGGUGGGGAUGACGUCAAGUCAUCAUGGCCCUUACGACCAGGGCUACACACGUGCUACAAUGGCAUAUACAAAGAGAAGCGACCUCGCGAGAGCAAGCGGACCUCAUAAAGUAUGUCGUAGUCCGGAUUGGAGUCUGCAACUCGACUCCAUGAAGUCGGAAUCGCUAGUAAUCGUGGAUCAGAAUGCCACGGUGAAUACGUUCCCGGGCCUUGUACACACCGCCCGUCACACCAUGGGAGUGGGUUGCAAAAGAAGUAGGUAGCUUAACCUUCGGGAGGGCGC